This is a long non-coding RNA of Rhineura floridana, 1530 nucleotides long. RefSeq lists it as uncharacterized. The record is from RefSeq and is a predicted model, not a curated record. The transcript has 5 exons. Lineage: Eukaryota; Metazoa; Chordata; Lepidosauria; Squamata; Rhineuridae.
ACGAGUCUUCCCCCGGUUUUUUUUUUCUGGCUGCAGCAACUUAAUUGGUUGAUUGCAGAGCCACUUCUGUUUCAAUUACUUUUGAUUGAUUCCCAGGUCUGUGUCAGCCUUUCAGUGCACCCGACAUCCUAGGAACAAAUCUGUAGCAGCUGAAGAUGAAAAUAGCUUCCCCUGGCACUUAGGAUGAAAAUUCAGGCCUCGCCUCAGAACGUGAGGGCCGCGCCUGGCCUUUCUGACAAAUAAACGGGGCCUCGGGUCAGUUAGAGCUGCUGAUCAUGGUCAAGAGCCUUGCCUACUUCGCAGUCUCGUCACUAGCUUGUUGCAAAAACGAGCUUAAUCCGCUUUUCUGAUUGCCUUCCUUCCUUCCAAAAGUGCCAGUGGCCAAUUUGGGCUUCAGGAGUGAGGCUGAGAGAGAGUGGCUUCCCUCGGUCAGUCUAGUGCCUUAGCCACUACAUUGCAUCAGCUCUCCAGCCUCAUAGUUGCAGCAUGUGAGGGCAUCGGAGACCAAGGGAGAUUGAAGCAAUGCCCCCUCCAAACAAAACAAGACACCAUGCACCAGGGAUGGUGGACCAGGGGGGUUGGACCUGAUGGCCUUAUAGGCCCAACUCUACUAUUCUGUGAUAUUGCUAGGUCUCAAGAAAGCCCAAGUUAAAGGUACAACUUGCAGCAUAACAAAAAAAUCUGUUGACUAGAGGUUGCGGAGAGGCAGAAACAAGGAAAUAUGUGUUCUGUGGACAGUGAGGGAUCUGCAGUGCAGAACAGAGGAAGAGAAGCUUUGGCCACCGCAUAUUAUUCCCUUCUUCAAAGAGACAAGAGAAAUACUUAAAUGAAAAAGAGUUAAAGAUUACGUUGAAUGUUGUACUCGUUUUAGUAAAUUGUUCUCUUUCUAAGUGUGGGUGCACACACGCACAUGCCUAAAAGCUUUUCAGAAUCUCUUAGCAAACUAGGCCAGAAGCAGGCCCACCGCCAGCCAGAGAGGGACCUGCUGGAAUUGAAGCUGGUUUUAUAAUUUAUGGUACUAAUCAUGCUCAACGGUCACUUCUUGUGGUUUCCUUCUAAGUUGUCUUUGAUUCUUCCUGCUUGUACAGCAUAUGCUGCUGUUGUAGCUGCUGAAACACAUUUACAAAACCUAAGUGUUCUGCUCUUUCAUUGCCACAUUGUUGGUGUAGGUGUUAUUCAUGCUGGUGUUAGUAGUUAGGGGCCCUCUAAGCUGGGACAUCUUGGUGCUGUGUGUUCCUCAACAGUUUUGCAGAAAUGACACCCCAUUCCAGCCCGGCUGCCAUUGGUGUAUUUCCACAUUUUCAACAUGAGAGUACAGAUUGGUCACCAGUGAUUUCAUUUUUGCUGCAAUUGUACUCAUAGGAGUUGUAAAUGAUCCAACAAAUGAGGCUGAGUUGAGCUACCUUGUCAUAGAAAUCUAUGUGGAAUCUUUUCUGUUGUGAACAGAAUCCCAAUGUGUCCUGUUUCUACCUUGUGAUGGAAAAAUGAUUGAUCACAUCUCCUUGUUAAUUUUUUUAAACAAUUGUAUCA